This 500-nucleotide ribosomal RNA is filed under the name uncultured bacterium. Its description in RNAcentral is "partial 16S ribosomal RNA". It matches the Rfam family "Bacterial small subunit ribosomal RNA", at positions 30 to 523 of the family's 1533-position model. The record is from RNAcentral.
AUUGAACGCUGGCGGCAUGCCUUACACAUGUAAGUCGAACGGCAGCACGGGAGCAAUCCUGGUGGCGAGUAGCGAACGGGUGAGUAAAGUAUCGGAACGUGCCCAGUCGUGGGGGAUAACGUAGCGAAAGUUACGCUAAUACCGCAUACGAUCUAUGGAUGAAAGCGGGGGAUCGCAAGACCUCGCGCGAUUGGAGCGGCCGAUAUCAGAUUAGGUAGUUGGUGGGGUAAAGGCUCACCAAGCCGACGAUCUGUAGCUGGUCUGAGAGGACGACCGGCCACACUGGGACUGAGACACGGCCCAGACUCCUACGGGAGGCAGCAGUGGGGAAUUUUGGACAAUGGGCGCAAGCCUGAUCCAGCCAUGCCGCGUGCAGGAUGAAGGCCUUCGGGUUGUAAACUGCUUUUGUACGGAACGAAAAGGUUUGGCUUAAUACGUUGAACUCAUGACGGUACCGUAAGAAUAAGCACCGGCUAACUACGUGCCAGCAGCCGCCGUAA